GACGAACGCUGGCGGCGUGCUUUAUACAUGCAAGUUGAACGAAUAUAAGAGAGCUUGCUUUCUUAUAUUAGUAGCGGACGGGUGAGUAACACGUGAGCAACCUACCAUAUUCAGGGGGAUAACACAGAGAAAUUUGUGCUAAUACCGCAUAAGACUACGAGAAGACAUCUUCUAGUGAUCAAAGCUCCGGCGGAAUAUGAUGGGCUCGCGGCCUAUUAGCUAGUUGGUGAGAUAACAGCUCACCAAGGCGACGAUAGGUAGCCGACCUGAGAGGGUGAUCGGCCACACUGGAACUGAGACACGGUCCAGACUCCUACGGGAGGCAGCAGUAGGGAAUAUUGGGCAAUGGAGGCAACUCUGACCCAGCAACGCCGCGUGAGCGAUGAAGGUCUUCGGAUUGUAAAGCUCUGUUCCGAGGGACGAAAAAAAUGACGGUACCUCGGGAGGAAGCUCCGGCUAACUAUGUGCCAGCAGCCGCGGUAAUAC
This 486-nucleotide ribosomal RNA is filed under the name uncultured bacterium. RNAcentral describes it as "bacterial SSU rRNA". It matches the Rfam family "Bacterial small subunit ribosomal RNA", at positions 28 to 526 of the family's 1533-position model. The record is from RNAcentral.